RNAcentral lists this ribosomal RNA (497 nucleotides) under uncultured bacterium. RNAcentral's name for it is "partial 16S ribosomal RNA". It matches the Rfam family "Bacterial small subunit ribosomal RNA", at positions 28 to 507 of the family's 1533-position model. The record is from RNAcentral.
GAUGAACGCUGGCGGCGUGCCUAAUACAUGCAAGUAGAACGCUGAAGGAAGGAGCUUGCUCUUUCCGGAUGAGUUGCGAACGGGUGAGUAACGCGUAGGUAACCUGCCUGGUAGCGGGGGAUAACUAUUGGAAACGAUAGCUAAUACCGCAUAACAGUAGAUGUUGCAUGAUAUCUACUUAAAAGGUGCAAUUGCACCACUACCAGAUGGACCUGCGUUGUAUUAGCUAGUUGGUGAGGUAACGGCUCACCAAGGCGACGAUACAUAGCCGACCUGAGAGGGUGAUCGGCCACACUGGGGCUGAGACACGGCCCAGACUCCUACGGGAGGCAGCAGUAGGGAAUCUUCGGCAAUGGACGGAAGUCUGACCGAGCAACGCCGCGUGAGUGAAGAAGGUUUUCGGAUCGUAAAGCUCUGUUGUAAGAGAAGAACGAGUGUGAGAGUGGAAAGUUCACACUGUGACGGUAUCUUACCAGAAAGGGACGGCUAACUACGUG